GCAGCGUGGACCUGCCUUGGGAUUACAUGAAUAACCUAGCUCUCAGCCACAAUUUAGCCCAUGUGGACCUUGACCGUCUCCCCAGCCCACAGGACAUUGGGCUGAUAUGACCUGGAGGACCCACCCCUGUGGGAUGGUGAUCUGGCUUCUCAGGACCACUCAGGAUUAUUUAGGAGCUCAGCUGGAAGAUGCCACCACAAGACUGCAGAGAGUCCUACAGCAUAUGACCCUGGACCCUGGUGAAUGGUGCCGUUCCCCUAAACCAGAAUCCACAGGCCGGGGGCCUACGGGUGAGAGUGAGGGCAGCACUUAUGGUUGGAACAUUCACAAAAGUUUACCUCUUGGCCCUGUUAGUCCUUACUCUUCUAGUUUGGA
This 375-nucleotide long non-coding RNA is filed under the name Homo sapiens (human). Its description in RNAcentral is "LNC_000684". The record is from RNAcentral. Lineage: Eukaryota; Metazoa; Chordata; Mammalia; Primates; Hominidae.